GUGGGCGGAAGCUCAUUGUAGAGGUCACGUGCCGAGUGCUCGUCACUCCACCAAUCGCCUCGGGGAAGGUCUGAGACAAGAGCCAAUGGUUGCCCUCGCAGGGCAUCACCUGAUGCGGGUGAGCGAGUGAACAGAGAGGUUGGGCCACUGUGGGCGGUCCUAGCAGGAGAAGCCGCGGCGGGGCAGCUUAACGCUCCGCCCGGCGGAUGCGACCCCCACCGGCUUGGAAUCGCUCGCGGCUGGCGAAUGAGUGCGAUGGAUGAGGUGGAGCACCGCUCCAGAACCCAAUUCAGACUACUCUCCCCCCAC
RNAcentral lists this RNase P RNA (309 nucleotides) under Echeneis naucrates (live sharksucker). RNAcentral's name for it is "Nuclear RNase P (ENSENLG00000007975.1)". It matches the Rfam family "Nuclear RNase P". Rfam says of the family: Ribonuclease P (RNase P) is a ubiquitous endoribonuclease, found in archaea, bacteria and eukarya as well as chloroplasts and mitochondria. Its best characterised activity is the generation of mature 5'-ends of tRNAs by cleaving the 5'-leader elements of precursor-tRNAs. The record is from Rfam by way of RNAcentral. Lineage: Eukaryota; Metazoa; Chordata; Actinopteri; Carangiformes; Echeneidae.